Molecule: RNA transcript, 1280 nt
Organism: Anopheles stephensi (Asian malaria mosquito)
Lineage: Eukaryota; Metazoa; Arthropoda; Insecta; Diptera; Culicidae
Exons: 4
Source: RefSeq, a predicted model, not a curated record
GUUCCAGCAAGUUGUAUUCGUACCAGAAUGUUGCGUUGUGUGGUGUUUGCUUUACUCGUCGCAGUCACCUUACCAGGUGUACCGACGGCACAGGCCAUCUGCACAGCAUCCAUAUCCGACGAUCGUGUUGCUGCCUGUGCCUUCAACCCAUUGCUACUGCUUGUGGAACGUUCCGGUUGGGUACUGUCCCGGCAGAACUGUGGUGAAACGGUCGGUGCGGAAGCGUUCGAUGUGCCACCGAUCAUAUACUUCGAUUACACCGAACCAAAGCAUCUCUAUACCGUGGUGUUUGUGGCCGAGCGUCUCCAUCAGACUCGCUCCACCGAUGCCUCCACCGAACGAUCGUUCUAUUUGCAGUGGCUGGUUGUGAAUGUUCCCGAAUCAUCUCUCGCAAACGGAAUGAGAUACAUGGAUGGUGACACAAUCGUUGAUUAUCUAUCACCCGAGCCACGAUCUGCCGAUGAUGAUGAUGAUGAUGAUGGGCAGCCGACACGCUACGGAUUCUAUCUGUACGAACAGGUUUACGGUACGAUCUAUCCACCGACACCGAGCACCAGGGAGUACUUCAGUUUGGAUGGCUGGAUCGGCACAAUCUAUCCCGUGGCCUCCCUCUGCGGUCCAGUUGCAUCGAUCGGAUUCGGGGUUUAGUAGCGCGGUGGCCCUUCGGCAGUCCGGAUAAAUUGUCCCACCAUAUCGACGGUAAAUAUCUUACCUCCUUCUCCAGCGACGCUACGAUAUUGACGAUCGUAUUUGUAGGUGCAGUGCAGUAAGAAUUGUGAUCGGCUGCAUGAAGCCAUGAAGGUUUCGUUUGUUUUUAUUUACUACCACGGGAGAAAGAAAUGGUACAAUUUAUACGUGCUGCGGCAGCAUAAUUUAGCUGCAAGUAGUACCCUGGCGACGCAACCGACGACAUGUACACGUGUACACGAUACACCGCCUGGACGCAGCUAGCAGUAAAUAAAGGACCAGCAUUUCUUCAACCCCUGCAGCUGGUUAACAUUCAAAAACACUGCUCCAAAAUCUUCGCUCUACAAACGGAAGAUGUAGUUCAGAUUCCGUUUUUGUGUAGGUCUUGGUCACAGUGUGUGUGUGUGUGUCCGUCCAUUUUGUUUCAAAAUGUAUCCUACCGAAGUCUUCGUCCCCAGUGCCUCGGGCAAGGGAAAGAAACUGACCGACCAAUGUUUUUGUCGUCACCCUUCUGGUCUUUAUCGCAAACUACGUGCCCCUCAAUGUGUUCAUCAGAUAUCUGGAGCUGCAAACAGGAAAAUAAAAUAACAAAA